This 345-nucleotide unclassified non-coding RNA is filed under the name soil metagenome. RNAcentral's name for it is "partial contains 5.8S ribosomal RNA, internal transcribed spacer 2, and large subunit ribosomal RNA". The stretch from base 5 to 118 matches the Rfam family "5.8S ribosomal RNA", at positions 40 to 154 of the family's 154-position model. The record is from RNAcentral.
GAUGAGAACGUAGCGAAAUGCGAUACGUAAUGUGAAUUGCAAAUUCAGUGAAUCAUCGAGUCUUUGAACGCACAUUGCGCCCCCUGGUAUUCCGGGGGGCAUGCCUGUCCGAGCGUCAUUGCUGCCCUCAAGCACGGCUUGUGUGUUGGGCCCCGUCCUCCGAUCCCGGGGGACGGGCCCGAAAGGCAGCGGCGGCACCGCGUCCGGUCCUCGAGCGUAUGGGGCUUUGUCACCCGCUCUGUAGGCCCGGCCGGCGCUUGCCGAUCAACCCAAAUUUUUUAUCCAGGUUGACCUCGGAUCAGGUAGGGAUACCCGCUGAACUUAAGCAUAUCAAUAAGCGGAGGA